Molecule: long non-coding RNA, 565 nt
Filed under: Aotus nancymaae (Ma's night monkey)
Lineage: Eukaryota; Metazoa; Chordata; Mammalia; Primates; Aotidae
Description: lncRNA (ENSANAG00000038958.1)
Source: RNAcentral
UUUUCUUUCAUGAUUACCCCCAGAAGAGGAAGAGUGUUUUAAACGGCUCGAGAAUGUGGUCAGAGGGUCAUCAUCCAGAUGCCAAAUAUGCAAAGGUGAAGCUCAUCCGGCUGGUUGGGAUUAUGCUGCUGUUAUAUGUCAAACAGGAGCAUGCAGCAUAUAUCUCAGAAGUGGAAGCUGAGACUGUGGGGACAGGAAUCAUGGGGAGGAUGGUGAGUCCUUGAUUGAUAUGUUUGGCACAUUGAGGACCUUAACUCUUGAGGUAUUGACUGCUUCUGAUGACACAGUGACUACACAUGUCCCAGUUUGAAGGUGCCAGUAUUCCAAGAUGAAUCAUACCCUCAAGCAGGGCUCAGUUGAGCAAACUAUUUAGAAACUGCAUUUUAGUGAACUGCCAGCUGAUUUAACCAACUAGCGCCUAUCCUUGUAUUCACCAACACUAGAGCCUCCAGUUGAUCCUCCCAUUUCACCCAUGAAGUAUGUUGCAGAAACUAUGGUGAGUCAUCCAGGAAAACAAAGAAUGCUGAUAGUAGGUUUGCAGUUUCCUCUUGUUCUUGAGGCAAUU